Molecule: long non-coding RNA, 478 nt
Filed under: Homo sapiens (human)
Lineage: Eukaryota; Metazoa; Chordata; Mammalia; Primates; Hominidae
Description: long non-coding RNA NONHSAT127457
Source: RNAcentral
UAAUAUUUUACUUUGGAGUUUUAUUUAAACAACCUCAGUAGUUUGGAUGACAGCUUGAGAAAGCCUUAAGAGUUUGAGACUGAGUUUGAUGAUACUUUCUCGUAUGUUCGUGUACAGAUAACACUGUUCACAGUACUUUCCACCACCAUUUUCCCAUCCACCAGCUUUCUCGUUAUGGUGGUUUCUUUGCCAUCCCAGUCCUGAACUUGAAUCAGGGACUCCUUAUCUAAGGUUACUUUACUCGAGGAUGAUAUCUGACUAACAUUCUUUUGAAAUGUGUCUGAAAGACUGUCGUAGGCCUCACCUUUGUUUUGUGGCCACCUGGCGUGAUUUCCUCAAACUCUUCUCCCAGCUUAAAGGAGAUCUCAUUAUUUUUAAAGAUGCUUUUGGUUUUUAUUGUGAUGACAUCUCCAUCUGUACUGAUGGUCACAGUGGGUUUUGCCAAACGGCCCAGUUUCCUGCUGGCUCUUCCUAUACC